Molecule: ribosomal RNA, 450 nt
Filed under: uncultured bacterium
Lineage: Bacteria
Description: partial 16S ribosomal RNA
Rfam family: Bacterial small subunit ribosomal RNA
Source: RNAcentral
AACGAACGCUGGCGGCAGGCUUAACACAUGCAAGUCGAACGGGUGUAGCAAUACAUCAGUGGCAGACGGGUGAGUAACACGUGGGAACCUUCCUAGGGGUACGGAACAACUCAGGGAAACUUGAGCUAAUACCGUAUACGUACGUGAGGAGAAAGAUUUAUCGCCCUUAGACGGGCCCGCGUCGGAUUAGCUAGUUGGUGGGGUAACGGCCUACCAAGGCGACGAUCCGUAGCUGAUCUUAACGGAUGAUCAGCCACACGGGGACUGAGACACGGCCCAGACUCCUGCGGGAGGCAUCUGUGGGAAUCUUUGACAAUGGGCGCAAGCCUGAUCCAGCCAUGCCGCGUGAGUGAAGAAGGUCUUCGGAUUGUAAAGCUCUUUUGCCAGGGACGAUAAUGACGGUACCUGGAGAAUAAGCCCCGGCAAACUUCGUUCCAGCCGCCGCCGUAA